AUGGCGUACCUACACCAUAACCACCAUGGAAGUAUUGUUCAUUGUGAUCUCAAACCCAGCAACAUUCUUCUGGACAAUGACAUGGUAGCUCAUGUUGGAGACUUUGGACUCGCACGGUUGCAAAGCCUAACAAAUGGCAUGUUCAAGGACGGAUUAAUCAUUGCCAAGUUUGCAGAGGUUAACAUCCCUAACAAGAUGAUGCAGAUCGUCGAUCCACAACUGGUACAAGAGUUGGACCUUUGCGAAGAAGCUCCAUCGGCGGAGGAUAAUGGAGUACAUUGUUUACUUUCUGUGCUGAAUGUUGGCCUUUGCUGCACCAAGUCCACUCCAAGUGAACGCAUCAGCAUGGAUGAGGUGGGGGGGGAGGGAUUCAAUCUGCAGGUGCCGGAUCUGGUUUUACCACAGCUAAGAGCAUAUGCAAAUGUCUGGUCAGAACUGGGGUUCCUCGGUCCACAAGAUGCAGUGUACUUCAUCGGGUACAGGUCAUGUUCAUCUCACACCCCAACCUUCUUGGUUAAUAUAGAUCAGGUCGACGGCCAGUGGCCCCGCGCACCCCGCCUCCAUCCCCUACCUCUAGCCCUCACGCGCGCAUCCCCUUCCCCUCCCCGUGCUGCGACGGAGGCCACCACGAGCUCCAUCGCCGGCGGCCAGGCGCUCCCUCGCGCAACCACCAUGGCUGCCUGCUGCCAUGGCCAGAUCCAUCCCCUACCUACAUCCUUCACGUGUGCACAUCCCCUCCCCCUCUCCUAUCGGGCUGCGACUGGGCCACCACAGGCUCCAUCGACGACGGUCAGGCGCUCCCUCACCGGCCGCCAUGGCUGCUUACCGCCAUGGCCGGAUCCACCCGCGUAUACAACGAGCAUCAAUGGCGAGGGGUGGCGGCCGAGCUACAACCGCCGCCGUCAAGAGCUGCAACGCAGGUGGAGUUGUUGCAUGGCGGCCGGCGACGAGGACGGCCGGCGACGGCGGGGACCGACGACGAGGAUGGCCGACGAGGGCGGGAUCCGGCGGCGACGAGGAAGACCGGCGAGGGUGGGGACCGACGACGAGGAUGGCCGGCGAGGGCGGGAUCCGGCGGCGACAAGGAAGACCGGCAAGGGUGGGGACCGACGACCACCGGAGGGGAUAGGAGUCGUGGCGCCGCGCUCCCCCGAACAGGACUGCCCGAGGAAGAAGAAAGAGAGCUGGGGUUCCUGCACCGCCAAGACUGCCUGCAUCGUUCAAUGCUUGUCGUCGAACACCCUGGCGCUGCGUUCCUACCACAGUUUGCGAAGUCCGACGCGCCCGAUAGUGCGCAUGUACAGGGAGCUGACUUGGUUUGCAUUAGGUGCCUUCAUGUUGUGCUCUUCUUAUCUGCUGCACCUGUUGGCCAUGUCCGUCCGAUUUGGGCUCUUCGGGUCCUGCCGUGUCGUCGGACCGAUCGACAUCGGUGGCCACAAACAUGGCAACAUUCGAGUUUGCUUGGCUAAGAGUAAAGGAGGUGCCUUUCCCUCCUCCUAUUGUGGUUGGGUGGCCGUGACGUGGAUGAUUGGUGGUGUCUGGGGGCAUGGAUGCCAGGGCGGUGCCCCCAGAUGA
This 1575-nucleotide ribosomal RNA is filed under the name Triticum aestivum (bread wheat). Its description in RNAcentral is "partial small subunit ribosomal RNA". Lineage: Eukaryota; Viridiplantae; Streptophyta; Magnoliopsida; Poales; Poaceae. The record is from RNAcentral.